This 468-nucleotide ribosomal RNA is filed under the name uncultured bacterium. RNAcentral's name for it is "partial 16S ribosomal RNA". It matches the Rfam family "Bacterial small subunit ribosomal RNA", at positions 28 to 507 of the family's 1533-position model. The record is from RNAcentral.
GACGAACGCUGGCGGCGUGCUUAACACAUGCAAGUCGAACGGAAAGGCCCUGCUUUUGUGGGGUGCUCGAGUGGCGAACGGGUGAGUAACACGUGAGUAACCUGCCCUUGACUUUGGGAUAACUUCAGGAAACUGGGGCCAAUACCGGAUAGGAGCUCCUGCUGCAUGGUGGGGGUUGGAAAGUUUCGGCGGUUGGGGAUGGACUCGCGGCUUAUCAGCUUGUUGGUGGGGUAGUGGCUUACCAAGGCUUUGACGGGUAGCCGGCCUGAGAGGGUGACCGGCCACAUUGGGACUGAGAUACGGCCCAGACUCCUACGGGAGGCAGCAGUGGGGAAUAUUGCACAAUGGGCGGAAGCCUGAUGCAGCAACGCCGCGUGCGGGAUGACGGCCUUCGGGUUGUAAACCGCUUUCGCCUGUGGCGAAGCGUGAGUGACGGUAAUGGGUAAAGAAGCACCGGCUAACUACGUG